Molecule: unclassified non-coding RNA, 331 nt
Filed under: soil metagenome
Description: partial contains 5.8S ribosomal RNA, internal transcribed spacer 2, and large subunit ribosomal RNA
Rfam family: 5.8S ribosomal RNA (bases 1-120)
Source: RNAcentral
GAUGAAGAACGUAGCGAAAUGCGAUAAGUAGUGUGAAUUGCAGAAUUCAGUGAAUCAUCGAAUCUUUGAACGCACAUUGCGCCCUUUGGUAUUCCUUAGGGCAUGCCUGUUCGAGCGUCAUUUAAACCUUCAAGCUAAGCUUGGUGUUGGGUGACUGUCCGCUUCACUGCGGACUCGCCUCAAAAUUAUUGGCGGCCGGUACAUUGGCUUCGAGCGCAGCAGAAACGCGAACUCGGGCCCGUCGUAUUGGCUCCCAGAAGCUAUCUUCACAAUUUUGACCUCGGAUCAGGUAGGGAUACCCGCUGAACUUAAGCAUAUCAAUAAGCGGAGA